GAUUCAAAAGGUUCUGCUGGAGGAUCACAUUGUGAAAACUACAGCCAUGAAAGGCCCUCCAUUUAUUGCACCCUUCAAAAACGAAAUAUUAGCAUGGGAGGCUAAGCUGCGCGACUAAUGCAGGAGAUUAUGGAAACCUGGCUGCAAGUUCAAAAGGCCCUGGUGAUGCCGGGAACCCAUGUUUUGCUCACAGGAUACAUGUAACCAAAUAUUGGUAGAAGGAAAGCACUUUGAAGUUGUCAGUAGGAACUGGAGGUUAAUAAUGAAGGAGUCAGUGAAGGAGGCCAAUGGCAUGAGGGUUAUCUCACAGCCCCAGAUGCUGGAUAAGUUGAAGGAGGCAAAAUCGCUUUUGGAUGACAUUCAGAAAGGCCUGAAUGAUUAUUUGGAGAAGAAAAGACUAUUCUUUCUAAGGUUUUUUCUUUCUGUGCAACGAUGAGCUCUUAGAAAUCCUUUCUGAGACAAAGGAUCCACUCCGAGACCAGCCACACCUAAAGAAAUGCUUUGAAGGAAUUGCCAAGCUCACUUUUAAUCAUGAGAAAGAAAUUACUCACAUGGAGUCAGCAGAAAAUGAAAAAGUAGAGCUCGUGCUGUGAAUAAUUCCAGCAAGUGCCAAGGGGCUAGUUGAGAAAUGGCUUCAUGAGGUGAAUAUCUUUAGCUCUUACUUAGGGGUUAGUUACUGUAUAAUCAUUUUCUCUUUUAGGAGCAAGGAAUAUCAUAAGCAUAUUUCCUAAGUAAAUAGCUCUGAUAAUUUAUCAGAUUAUUUGACAGAUUGAAUAUCAGCCUUAUUGUUGUUAUUUAUUACAACUAAUUGACAUGUGCAAACAUGCAAAAAUUAAUUUUAAUAAAGAGGUUAUCAGUGUGUGAGACA
Molecule: long non-coding RNA, 868 nt
Filed under: Gopherus agassizii (Agassiz's desert tortoise)
Lineage: Eukaryota; Metazoa; Chordata; Testudines; Testudinidae
Description: lncRNA (ENSGAGG00000009566.1)
Rfam family: Rhabdomyosarcoma 2 associated transcript conserved region 9 (bases 450-642)
Source: RNAcentral